AAAGUCGUAACAAGGUUUCCGUAGGUGAACCUGCGGAAGGAUCAUUACAGAGUUCAUGCCCUUACGGGUAGAUCUCCCACCCUUGAAUAUACUACCAUUGUUGCUUUGGCGGGCCGCCUUCGGCCACUGGCUUCUAGCUAGUGAGUGCCCGCCAGAGGACCCUAAACUCUGAAUUUUGUAUUGUCUGAGCACUAUAUAAUAGUUAAAACUUUCAACAACGGAUCUCUUGGUUCUG
This 235-nucleotide unclassified non-coding RNA is filed under the name Ascomycota sp. RNAcentral describes it as "partial contains small subunit ribosomal RNA, internal transcribed spacer 1, and 5.8S ribosomal RNA". The stretch from base 1 to 47 matches the Rfam family "Eukaryotic small subunit ribosomal RNA", at positions 1785 to 1831 of the family's 1831-position model. Lineage: Eukaryota; Fungi; Ascomycota. The record is from RNAcentral.